RNAcentral lists this transfer RNA (87 nucleotides) under candidate division WWE3 bacterium. Its description in RNAcentral is "tRNA-Leu". It matches the Rfam family "tRNA". Rfam says of the family: Transfer RNA (tRNA) molecules are approximately 80 nucleotides in length. The record is from RNAcentral. Lineage: Bacteria; candidate division WWE3.
GGGCGAGUGGUGGAAUGGUAUACACGACAGACUUAAAAUCUGUUGAGACUUGGUCUCGUGAGGGUUCAAGUCCCUCCUCGCCCACCA